GACGAACGCUGGCGGCGAGCCUAAUACAUGCAAGUUGAGCGCUGAAGGUUGGUACUUGUACCGACUGGAUGAGCAGCGAACGGGUGAGUAACGCGUGGGGAAUCUGCCUUUGAGCGGGGGACAACAUUUGGAAACGAAUGCUAAUACCGCAUAAAAACUUUAAACACAAGUUUUAAGUUUGAAAGAUGCAAUUGCAUCACUCAAAGAUGAUCCCGCGUUGUAUUAGCUAGUUGGUGAGGUAAAGGCUCACCAAGGCGAUGAUACAUAGCCGACCUGAGAGGGUGAUCGGCCACAUUGGGACUGAGACACGGCCCAAACUCCUACGGGAGGCAGCAGUAGGGAAUCUUCGGCAAUGGACGAAAGUCUGACCGAGCAACGCCGCGUGAGUGAAGAAGGUUUUCGGAUCGUAAAACUCUGUUGGUAGAGAAGAACGUUGGUGAGAGUGGAAAGCUCAUCAAGUGACGGUAACUACCCAGAAAGGGACGGCUAACUAUGUGCCAGCCGCCGCCGUAA
Molecule: ribosomal RNA, 513 nt
Filed under: uncultured bacterium
Lineage: Bacteria
Description: partial 16S ribosomal RNA
Rfam family: Bacterial small subunit ribosomal RNA
Source: RNAcentral